RNAcentral lists this ribosomal RNA (2876 nucleotides) under Helicobacter bilis. RNAcentral describes it as "bacterial LSU rRNA". It matches the Rfam family "Bacterial large subunit ribosomal RNA". The record is from RNAcentral. Lineage: Bacteria; Pseudomonadati; Campylobacterota; Epsilonproteobacteria; Campylobacterales; Helicobacteraceae.
AGGCGAUGAAGGACGUACUAAGCUGCGAUAAGCUAUGGGGAGCUGCUAAGAAGCUUUGAUCCCUAGAUUUCCGAAUGGGGCAACCCAGCUAGUAGAGAUACUAGUUAUGUAGGCAACAGAGAGUAGAGAUUGGCAGAUGGCGAAAUAUUUUGGAUGAGAAAUUAAUGUUGUGAAGCAAUUUGUGCGGAGACUAGACUUAGUGUCUGUCGCACAAACAAAUUGUGAACUCAUUAAUUUAUCGCCAAAAGAUAAGCCAAGCCUCUAUUGUCUGUUGCCUGCAGGCGAACCUAGCGAAGUGAAACAUCUCAGUAGCUAGAGGAAAAGAAAUCAAUAGAGAUUCUCCUAGUAGCGGCGAGCGAACGGGGAAAAGGGCAAACCAGUAGCUUGCUACUGGGGUUGAGGACUGCAAUAUCCACUUGAAUAAUGUAGCAGAAGUGUUUGGAAAAGCACAUCACAGAGGGUGAUAGUCCCGUAUGCGCAAUAUUAUUUAUAGGUAGCAGGAUCCAGAGUAGGCCAGGACACGUGAAAUCCGGGCUGAAGCGGGGGAGACCACUCUCCAACCCUAAAUACUACUAUCACACCGAUAGCGAACAAGUACCGUGAGGGAAAGGUGAAAAGAACCGCAGUGAGCGGAGUGAAAUAGAACCUGAAACCAUCUGCCUACAAUCAUUCGGAGCCCUAUGAUUUAUCAGGGUGACGGACUGCCUUUUGCAUAAUGAUCCUGCGAGUUGUGGUAUCUGGCAAGGUUAAGCAAACGCGAAGCCGUAGCGAAAGCGAGUCUGAAAGGGCGUUUAAGUCAGAUGCUGCAGACCCGAAGCGAAGUGAUCUAUCCAUGGCCAAGUUGAAGUAAGUGUAAUAGCUUAUGGAGGACUGAACUCGUACCCAUUGAAACGGGUUGGGAUGAGCUGUGGAUAGGGGUGAAAGGCCAAACAAACUUCGUGAUAGCUGGUUCUCUUCGAAAUAUAUUUAGGUAUAGCCUCAAGUGAUAGUAAUAGGGGGUAGAGCUCUGAUUGGGCUAGGGCUGCUCACCGCGGUACCAACCCCUGUCAAACUGCAAAUACCUAUUACCGUAUCUUGGGAGUCAGGCGGUGGGUGAUAAAAUCAAUCGUCAAAAGGGGAACAACCCAGACUACCAACUAAGGUCCCAAAGUUCUAUUCUAAGUGGAAAAUGAUGUGAAGUUACUUUGACAACCAGGAGGUUGGCUUAGAAGCAGCCAUCCUUUAAAGAAAGCGUAACAGCUCACUGGUCUAGUGAUUUUGCGCAAAAAAUAUAACGGGGCUAAGAUAGACACCGAAGUUGUAGAUUAUGCUGAUGCAUAGUGGUAGAAGAGCGUUCGUAUUGCGUUGAAGGUAUACCGGUAAGGAGUGCUGGAGCGAUGCGAAGUGAGCAUGCAGGAAUGAGUAGCGAUAAAAGUGGUGAGAAUCCACUUCGCCGAAAGUCUAAGGUUUCCUACGCGAUGCUCGUCAUCGUAGGGUUAGUCGGGUCCUAAGACAAGUCAGAAAUGGGUAGUCGAUGGAAAAUGGGUUAAUAUUCCCAUACCAACAUUAGUGUGCGAUGGGGGGACGCAUAGGGCUAAGUAGCGUUAGCUGAUGGAAGUGCUUAAUUUAAAAGCGUAGAUUGAGAGAUAGGUAAAUCCGCUCUUGUAUUCGAAACUUGAAUAGCUUGUUGCGAUCUUCGGAUCAAGAUGAGUGCUACUGACGCCGUCGUGCCAAGAAAAGCCUCUAAGUUUAGCUAAUGUUGCCCGUACCGCAAACCGACACAGGUAGAUGAGAUGAGUAUUCUAAGGCGCGUGAAAGAACUCUAGUUAAGGAACUCUGCAAACUAGCACCGUAAGUUCGCGAUAAGGUGUGCCACAGCAAUGUGGUCUCAGCAAAGAGUCCCUCCCGACUGUUUACCAAAAACACAGCACUUUGCAAACUCGUAAGAGGAAGUAUAAGGUGUGACGCCUGCCCGGUGCUCGAAGGUUAAGAGGAUUAGUCAGACGCAAGUCGAAGCUUUGAAUUGAAGCCCGAGUAAACGGCGGCCGUAACUAUAACGGUCCUAAGGUAGCGAAAUUCCUUGUCGGUUAAAUACCGACCUGCAUGAAUGGCGUAACGAGAUGGGAGCUGUCUCAACUAGGGAUUCAGUGAAAUUGUAGUGGAGGUGAAAAUUCCUCCUACCCGCGGCAAGACGGAAAGACCCCGUGGACCUUUACUACAGCUUGACACUGCCGAUGGGAGCAUUAUGCGCAGGAUAGGUGGGAGGCUUUGAAAUCUUUACUCUGGUAGAGAUGGAGCCAUCCUUGAGAUACCACCCUUAAUGUUUCUGUCUGCUAACUAGCUUGAGUUAUCCUCAAGUAGGACAAUGUCUGGUGGGUAGUUUGACUGGGGCGGUCGCCUCCUAAAAAGUAACGGAGGCUUGCAAAGGUUGGCUCAUUGCGGUUGGAAAUCGCAAGUAGAGUGUAAUGGCAUAAGCCAGCCUGACUGUAAGACAAACAAGUCGAGCAGAGACGAAAGUCGGUCAUAGUGAUCCGGUGAUUCUGUGUGGAAGGGUCAUCGCUCAAAGGAUAAAAGGUACCCCGGGGAUAACAGGCUGAUCUCCCCCAAGAGCUCACAUCGACGGGGAGGUUUGGCACCUCGAUGUCGGCUCAUCGCAUCCUGGGGCUGGAGCAGGUCCCAAGGGUAUGGCUGUUCGCCAUUUAAAGCGGUACGCGAGCUGGGUUCAGAACGUCGUGAGACAGUUCGGUCCCUAUCUGCCGUGGGCGUAGGAGAGUUGAGGAGAGCUGUCCCUAGUACGAGAGGACCGGGAUGGACAUGCCACUGGUGUACCAGUUGUUCUGCCAAGAGCAUCCCUGGGUAGCUACGCAUGGAUGUGAUAACCGCUGAARGCAUCUAAG